GACGAACGCUGGCGGCGUGCUUAACACAUGCAAGUCGAACGGAAAGGCCCUGCUUUUGUUGGUUGCUCGAGUGGCGAACGGGUGAGUAACACGUGAGUAACCUGCCCUUGACUUUGGGAUAACUUCAGGAAACUGGGGCUCAUACCGGAUAUGAUCUCCUGCUGCAUGGUGUGGGUUGGAAAGUUUCGGCGGUUGGGGAUGGACUCGCGGCUUAUCAGCUUGUUGGUGGGGUAGUGGCUUACCAAGGCUUUGACGGGUAGCCGGCCUGAGAGGGUUACCGGCCACAUUGGGACUGAGAGACGGCCCAGAAUCCUACGGGAGGCAGCAGUGGGGAAUAUUGCACAAUGGGCGGAAGCCUGAUGCAGCAACGCCGCGUGCGGGAUGACGGCCUUCGGGUUGUAAACCGCUUUCGCCUGUGACGAAGCGUGAGUGACGGUAAUGGGUAAAGAAGCACCGGCUAACUACGUG
RNAcentral lists this ribosomal RNA (468 nucleotides) under uncultured bacterium. RNAcentral's name for it is "partial 16S ribosomal RNA". It matches the Rfam family "Bacterial small subunit ribosomal RNA", at positions 28 to 507 of the family's 1533-position model. The record is from RNAcentral.